RNAcentral lists this ribosomal RNA (433 nucleotides) under Sinoennea apicata. RNAcentral describes it as "partial 16S ribosomal RNA". It matches the Rfam family "Archaeal large subunit ribosomal RNA", at positions 1909 to 2666 of the family's 2987-position model. The record is from RNAcentral. Lineage: Eukaryota; Metazoa; Mollusca; Gastropoda; Stylommatophora; Diapheridae.
AGCUUUUUGAUUUUUAAUAGAAAGUAACUUCUGCCCAAUGACUUUAAAAAUUAAAUGGCCGCAGUACACUGACUGUGCUAAGGUAGCAUAAUCAAUUGGCUUUUAAUUAAGGUCUAGAAUGAAUGAAGCCAUGGGGAAAGCUUUUAUUAACUAAGAUCUAGUAAACUUAAUGAUGUGGUGUAAAUACCAUAACAAUGAAAAUAGACGAGAAGACCCUAAGAAUUUUACUUUAAUGGUUUUGUUGGGGUGACAAAUUAACAAUUGUAAAACUUAAUUAAGGUUUGAAACUACAAGACGAAUAAUUAUUAAGAAUGGUUAAAUUACCUUAGGGAUAACAGCGUAAUGUAAAUAAACGAUUACGACCUCGAUGUUGGAUUAGGGUAUUAAUGGUUAGUAACUUAUUAAUAAGGUUCUGUUCGAACAUAUAGACCCU